AUUGAACGCUGGCGGCAUGCUUUACACAUGCAAGUCGAACGGCAGCGCGGGCUUCGGCCUGGCGGCGAGUGGCGAACGGGUGAGUAAUGCAUCGGUACGUGCCCAGUAGUGGGGGAUAGCCCGGCGAAAGCCGGAUUAAUACCGCAUACGACCUGAGGGUGAAAGCGGGGGACCGAAAGGCCUCGCGCUAUUGGAGCGGCCGAUGUCGGAUUAGCUAGUUGGUGGGGUAAAGGCUUACCAAGGCGACGAUCCGUAGCUGGUCUGAGAGGACGACCAGCCACACUGGGACUGAGACACGGCCCAGACUCCUACGGGAGGCAGCAGUGGGGAAUUUUGGACAAUGGGGGCAACCCUGAUCCAGCCAUGCCGCGUGCGGGAAGAAGGCCUUCGGGUUGUAAACCGCUUUUGUUCGGGAAGAAAUCCUCUGGGCUAAUACCCCGGGGGGAUGACGGUACCGGAAGAAUAAGCACCGGCUAACUACGUG
This 484-nucleotide ribosomal RNA is filed under the name uncultured bacterium. RNAcentral's name for it is "partial 16S ribosomal RNA". It matches the Rfam family "Bacterial small subunit ribosomal RNA", at positions 28 to 507 of the family's 1533-position model. The record is from RNAcentral.